GACGAACGCUGGCGGCGUGCUUAACACAUGCAAGUCGAGCGGUAAGGCCACUUCGGUGGUACACGAGCGGCGAACGGGUGAGUAACACGUGAGUAAUCUGCCCUUCACUUCGGGAUAAGCACCGGAAACGGUGUCUAAUACCGGAUAUGAGCAUCCUGCGCAUGUGGGGUGUUGGAAAGUUUUUUCGGUGGGGGAUGUGCUCGCGGCCUAUCAGCUUGUUGGUGGGGUAAUGGCCUACCAAGGCUUCGACGGGUAGCCGGCCUGAGAGGGUGACCGGUCACACUGGGACUGAGACACGGCCCAGACUCCUACGGGAGGCAGCAGUGGGGAAUAUUGGACAAUGGGCGGAAGCCUGAUCCAGCAACGCCGCGUGAGGGAUGACGGCCUUCGGGUUGUAAACCUCUUUCAGUACUGACGAAGCUCUAUGGGGUGACGGUAGGUACAGAAGAAGCACCGGCCAACUACGUGCCAGCAGCCGCAGUAAAAC
Molecule: ribosomal RNA, 487 nt
Filed under: uncultured bacterium
Lineage: Bacteria
Description: bacterial SSU rRNA
Rfam family: Bacterial small subunit ribosomal RNA
Source: RNAcentral